CCAUUAAGAGAAAGUGAAACCUAACUCUAUACAAAAGACAUACCUGCAACAGAGUGAUUCAGAGGGGAAAAUAGAAGCAUGGGCAAAAUUUUACCAAAUAAAUACAAGUAAACAAAAAGGGAAGGUCACAAUUUUGGGAGCGGGGAGGUGACAAACUUUUAAUACUAGGUAAGAUUGAAUUCAGGCUCCAAAUCACUAAAUGAGACCAAAAAGUUUAUAAACAAGAGGGUAAAAUUGAAAAUUAAAAUAUACUAGUUAUGAUUCUGUAUUGUAUACCAAAUAACUUGGAUACACUAUUUAAAGGACAAAAACUACUGAAAAAGAGUUUAACUUUUCUUGAACUUUUUCUUGAACCUAAAAACAACAACACUUUUCUUGAAUCUAUCAGAGAGCUGAGUUACAAGGCAACCUAUUGAACUGAAUUUUAAAAAGUCACAAGGUCCUCUAAGGAGAGACAGAACAUACGAACUGCUUCACCUUUGGCGGAGAACAAGAGGAAGAUGUGGCUUCCAUAGAAGCAGAGGGAGCUGGUUGUUAAACAUUUACCAGAACACCACUUGUUAGGACCUACAGAGCUAUUCUUACCUGAUGUCAGAACAGCCCCUGAGUUCAGAACUGCCCCUAAGUUUCAGUUACUCCAGUCAACCGCAGUCGGGAGGCGGAUGAUCCUCCUUCUGACGAAUCAUCAGAAGGCCAACAGUGGACUAACGUAAUGCUGCGCUAGACUGCAUCUCAAUGCCUACGUUAUUUGCGUCCGUCACACAUUUGAUCGUUUCGAAUCCUCCUGAGAAGGAGCAGGGGAGGGCACAACAUGGACAUGAAAUACUUCUUGAAUGUUGCCAGUACUUUGCUAUAGGAGUGAAGCCAUCACCCUCAGAUUGCCUGCUCACUUCAG
Molecule: non-coding RNA, 895 nt
Organism: Callorhinus ursinus (northern fur seal)
Lineage: Eukaryota; Metazoa; Chordata; Mammalia; Carnivora; Otariidae
Source: RefSeq, a predicted model, not a curated record